UUUAGGUUUUCCUUUCCUCACUGUAGGGAUACUGCCUUCUAGGAGACUUUUUCCCAGCAUUCAUUCUCAGGCUGGGGGAAGUCUUUUAAAUGUGGCAGAGUAAAGCAGCUGCAAACCUUAAGCAGCCAUUUUGUAUCUAGCUAUUGUCUUCUGUUGCAUCUUUUCCCCUUGGUAGAAGUCUGAAGUGAGAAAUAUUUGCCCCGGAAACUACGCUUUUCCUGACAUGGACAGGCUGAGAACUCUGAAAAAAAUCUUGAAACAGUUGCUUGCGCUUGAUCAUUCUCCUAGAUUGGGCAAAGAAAAACCACACAUAUGCACAGUAAAAUAGACAGUUCCUUCUGACUGAAUUUACUGCAGAAAAAAACUAUUUGACGAUCUUGUACAGGAAAUAAGAGUUAUGCUGCGUCUUUUUUUAAUUUAAGCAGUACACACAAAUCAAAUGUAUUUAUUAAAUCAAUGUAUAGUCAUUUUUACAAGGAAGUGUAAUUUAAAAACAGACAUAAAAGAUUUCCAAAGUAAUGAUACACAUCUCUUUUGGACAAAUGUUGUUUCAGGGAUUUAUGAUAAUUCCUUUUCUCAAAGAAAAAUGAAACUAAUUGAAACAAACUUUGUACUUUAUAUUAAUGCCAUUCGAAUACAGUAUGCACUGCCAGUUAUAAAGUGACAUUGAAAGCUGAUGCUGUUCUCAACA
Molecule: long non-coding RNA, 691 nt
Organism: Alligator sinensis (Chinese alligator)
Lineage: Eukaryota; Metazoa; Chordata; Crocodylia; Alligatoridae
Exons: 4
Source: RefSeq, a predicted model, not a curated record